UACGUAGGUGGCAAGCGUUGUCCGGAUUUACUGGGCGUAAAGGGCGCGUAGGCGGCUAGAUGUGUCAAAGGUGAAAUCCCUCGGCUCAACUGAGGAACUGCCUUUGAAACUGUCUGGCUUGAGGCCGGGAGAGGGUAGCGGAAUUCCCAGUGUAGCGGUGAAAUGCGUAGAUAUUGGGAGGAACACCAGUGGCGAAGGCGGCUACCUGGACCGGUUCUGACGCUGAGGCGCGAAAGCGUGGGUAGCAAACAGG
RNAcentral lists this ribosomal RNA (253 nucleotides) under uncultured bacterium. Its description in RNAcentral is "partial 16S ribosomal RNA". It matches the Rfam family "Bacterial small subunit ribosomal RNA", at positions 524 to 776 of the family's 1533-position model. The record is from RNAcentral.